This 406-nucleotide ribosomal RNA is filed under the name uncultured bacterium. RNAcentral describes it as "partial 16S ribosomal RNA". It matches the Rfam family "Bacterial small subunit ribosomal RNA", at positions 30 to 526 of the family's 1533-position model. The record is from RNAcentral.
AUUGAACGCUGGCGGCAGGCCUAACACAUGCAAGUCGAGCGAGCGGCGGACGGGUGAGUAAUGUAUGGGGAUCUGCCUGAUGGAGGGGGAUAACUACUGGAAACGGUAGCUAAUACCGCAUACCAUCAGAUGAACCCAUAUGGGAUUAGCUAGUAGGUGGGGUAACGGCUCACCAAGGCGACGAUCCGUAGCUGGUCUGAGAGGAUGAUCGGCCACACUGGGACUGAGACACGGCCCAGACUCCUACGGGAGGCAGCAGUGGGGAAUCUUCCACAAUGGGCGAAAGUCUGACCGAGCCACGCCGCGUGAAUGAAGAAGGUUUUCGGAUCGUAAAGCACUGUUAGCGGAGAGGCGUUAUCUGACCAAGAAGCACCGGCUAACUACGUGCCAGCAGCCGCGGUAAUAC